GCCCAAAUUACCCCAUCUUAUCCAGGGAGGUACGGCAAGAAAAAACAAUAACAAGGACCUUUGGGUUCGUAAAUGGAAUGAGUUAAGUUUAAACCCCCUUUACAAGUAUCAAUGGGAGGGCAAGUUUGGGUCCCAGCAGGCCGCCGGUAAUUCCAGCUACCAAUAGCGUAUAUUAAAAGUUGUUGCAGUUAAAAAGCUCGUAGUUGGAUUUCUGUUAAUAAUUUAUAUAAAAUAUUUUGAUGAAUAUUUAUAUAAUAUUAACAUAAUUCAUAUUACUAUAUAUUUUAGUAUAUGAAAUUUUACUUUGAGAAAAUUAGAGUGCUUAAAGCAGGCAUAUGCCUUGAAUACUCCAGCAUGGAAUAAUAUUAAAGAUUUUUAUCCUUCUUAUUGGUUCUAAGAUAAGAAUAAUGAUUAAUAGGGACAGUUGGGGGCAUUUGUAUUUAACAGUCAGAGGUGAAAUUCUUAGAUUUGUUAAAGACAAACUAAUGCGAAAGCAUUUGCCAAGGAUGUUUUCAUUAAUCAAGAACGAAAGUUAGGGGAUCGAAGACGAUCAGAUACCGUCGUAGUCUAACCUAAACUAGCCCAAC
Molecule: ribosomal RNA, 587 nt
Filed under: Cryptosporidium parvum
Lineage: Eukaryota; Apicomplexa; Conoidasida; Eucoccidiorida; Cryptosporidiidae
Description: bacterial SSU rRNA
Rfam family: Eukaryotic small subunit ribosomal RNA
Source: RNAcentral